UGGAUAUUUUUCCAAUACACGGGAGGCUGCUGAUCGCUGGCUUAUGGACAUUGGGGCCAUUUUGUUUGUUCCUUAAAAUCGUGUUAAUGUUGCUGCCAUCUCGCAGUAUAAAACCACGCUGUUGCUACAAACUAAGAAUUCACUGAAAAACUCAGUUAUUGGAAUACAGUUACAGAAAUCUUUCUGAUUCAUCAGCGUAGCUGUACUGAUUAGGGGCAACAGCAGCACUGCCACAGCCAGCUUACUCUCUGUCAAUAAACCUGUUGUUUGGGUCUGGAAACAUAACAGUUAAAAUCUGCCACUGUUUCUGCGUUCGCAACAUCUCAUCCAAGAGCAGGACUGUCACACGUCCAGAUACACCUUCUUCUACCCAGAAACUUUGUGCUGUCCCAAAAGGAAGAAGGGUACAGACAUUGUGUAUUGCCUGCUGAAUCUGAGAAACCAAAGAGAAUCUGUUUAAACUGGAAUUCCCUACUGUGGAUAAGAAACAGUGGUUGUUGGUGAC
Calidris pygmaea (Spoon-billed sandpiper) is the source of this 505-nucleotide long non-coding RNA. Lineage: Eukaryota; Metazoa; Chordata; Aves; Charadriiformes; Scolopacidae. The record is from Ensembl.